This 214-nucleotide ribosomal RNA is filed under the name Entrophospora sp. torrecillas. RNAcentral describes it as "Claroideoglomus sp. torrecillas partial small subunit ribosomal RNA". The stretch from base 87 to 214 matches the Rfam family "Eukaryotic small subunit ribosomal RNA", at positions 734 to 864 of the family's 1831-position model. Lineage: Eukaryota; Fungi; Glomeromycota; Glomeromycetes; Entrophosporales; Entrophosporaceae. The record is from RNAcentral.
GAGUCUGCAAGUUGGUCCGUCUAAUGACGGUACUGGCAUUGUAGGCUCUUACCUUCUGGGGAACCAAGGUCCUCUUCACUGAGUGCUUUGGGGAACCAGAACCUUUACUUUGAAAAAAUUAGAGUGUUUAAGGCAGGCUUACGCUUGAAUACAUUAGCAUGGAAUAAUAGAAUAGGACUUUGGUUCUAUUUUGUUGGUUUCUAGGACCAGAGUA